ACGGCUUCGUGGUGUGGACCGUGCCGGUUGAUCGCCCCAAUCUUGGCGGAGUUGGCUAAGAAGACCCCAGAAGUGACGUUCCUAAAGGUGGACGUGGAUGAACUGAGGACUGUUUCCGAGGAGUGGGGUGUGGAGGCAAUGCCUACCUUCCUCUUCCUCAAGGAAGGCAAGAUAGUGGACAAGGUUGUGGGUGCCAAGAAAGACGAGUUACAGAUCAAAGUUGCCAAGCAUGUCGCCGCUGCCGCCGCUGCCUCCGCCACCUCUGCCUCUGCCACCGCUGCUACAGCUACUGCUACUGCAUCUGCUUAACUUCUAUCAUUCUCUGUGGAGACUAUGAAACUCCUACUGUUUUACUAGUUGUUUAUAACUUUUAUGGAUUUCUAAAUUUUCUAUGAAGACAUCUGAAUUGAAUGCUUUAUGUAUAUCGCUACUUGUU
Molecule: long non-coding RNA, 436 nt
Filed under: Prunus persica (peach)
Lineage: Eukaryota; Viridiplantae; Streptophyta; Magnoliopsida; Rosales; Rosaceae
Description: long non-coding RNA (PPER_LNC001404)
Source: RNAcentral